UCCAGACUCCUACGGGAGGCAGCAGUGGGGGAUAUUGCACAAUGGGGGGAACCCUGAUGCAGCGACGCCGCGUGGGUGAAGAAGCGCCUCGGCGCGUAAAGCCCUGUCAGCAGGGAAGAAAAUGACGGUACCUGAAGAAGAAGCCCCGGCUAACUACGUGCCAGCAGCCGCGGUAAUACGUAGGGGGCAAGCGUUAUCCGGAUUUACUGGAUGUAAAGGGGGCGCAGACGGCGAUGCAAGCCAGGAGUGAAAGCCCGGGGCCCAACCCCGGGACUGCUCUUGGAACUGCGUGGCUGGAGUGCAGGAGGGGCAGGCGGAAUUCCUGGUGUAGCGGUGAAAUGCGUAGAUAUCAGGAGGAACACCGGUGGCGAAGGCGGCCUGCUGGACUGCAACUGACGUUGAGGCCCGAAAGCGUGGGGAGCAAACAGGAUUAGAUACCCGCGUAU
This 446-nucleotide ribosomal RNA is filed under the name uncultured bacterium. RNAcentral's name for it is "partial 16S ribosomal RNA". It matches the Rfam family "Bacterial small subunit ribosomal RNA", at positions 330 to 793 of the family's 1533-position model. The record is from RNAcentral.